Molecule: ribosomal RNA, 964 nt
Filed under: Claviceps ranunculoides
Lineage: Eukaryota; Fungi; Ascomycota; Sordariomycetes; Hypocreales; Clavicipitaceae
Description: LSU rRNA
Rfam family: Eukaryotic large subunit ribosomal RNA
Source: RNAcentral
AUCAAUAAGCGGAGGAAAAGAAACCAACAGGGAUUGCCCCAGUAACGGCGAGUGAAGCGGCAACAGCUCAAAUUUGAAAUCUGGCCCCCCGGGGCCCGAGUUGUAAUUUGCAGAGGAUGCUUUUGGCGAGGCGCCUUCCGAGUUCCCUGGAACGGGACGCCAUAGAGGGUGAGAGCCCCGUCUGGUUGGACGCCGAGCCUCUGUAAAGCUCCUUCGACGAGUCGAGUAGUUUGGGAAUGCUGCUCUAAACGGGAGGUAUAUGUCUUCUAAAGCUAAAUACCGGCCAGAGACCGAUAGCGCACAAGUAGAGUGAUCGAAAGAUGAAAAGCACUUUGAAAAGAGGGUUAAAUAGUACGUGAAAUUGUUGAAAGGGAAGCGCUUGUGACCAGACUUGGGCCCGGCGGAUCACCCAGCGUUCUCGCUGGUGCACUCCGGCGGGCCCAGGCCAGCAUCAGCUCGUCCCGGGGGACAAAGGCGGGGGGAACGUGGCUCCUCCGGGAGUGUUAUAGCCCACCGCGCAAUGCCCUGGGGCGGGCUGAGGACCGCGCAUCUGCAUGGAUGCUGGCGUAAUGGUCACCAGCGACCCGUCUUGAAACACGGACCAAGGAGUCGUCUUCGUAUGCGAGUGUUCGGGUGUCAAACCCCUACGCGUAAUGAAAGUGAACGCAGGUGAGAGCUUCGGCGCAUCAUCGACCGAUCCUGAUGUUCUCGGAUGGAUUUGAGUAGGAGCAUACGGGGCCGGACCCGAAAGAAGGUGAACUAUGCCUGUGUAGGGUGAAGCCAGAGGAAACUCUGGUGGAGGCUCGCAGCGGUUCUGACGUGCAAAUCGAUCGUCAAACAUGGGCAUGGGGGCGAAAGACUAAUCGAACCUUCUAGUAGCUGGUUUCCGCCGAAGUUUCCCUCAGGAUAGCAGUGUUGAUCUCAGUUUUAUGAGGUAAAGCGAAUGAUUAGGGACCCGGGGGCG